Long non-coding RNA from Oenanthe melanoleuca, 1580 nucleotides. RefSeq lists it as uncharacterized. The record is from RefSeq and is a predicted model, not a curated record. NCBI's taxonomy places the organism in Eukaryota, Metazoa, Chordata, Aves, Passeriformes, Muscicapidae. The transcript is spliced from 5 exons.
CCCAGUGUGGCUAUUCUGGAUUUUUCUGCUGCGGUGGAGCUGAAGAAGCUCACGGAUGAGACAGAGCCUUUUCCAGAGAGAAUGCAGGAGAUGUUUUGGCCACGUAAGAAGCCUUAAGGUCUUCAGAGGAAGAUGCUAAGGGAAGUGGUGAAAUGACAACUCCUGUCUCUUCUCCUUAAUCCUGUCAGCCUUGGGAUUUCAACAUGGACUGCUGAGAUGGGAGCAUCAUCUUGAUUUGGAGCUCCAGUCCAGGAUCAGCUUCAGCCCGUGCCUCCAAUCCUGCAAGAUGCUGCAGCCAGCCUGGCCUUGAAACACACCUUCCCCAGGCCAGCCACUGGGAAUGGGGGCUGGAAGGUGCCUUCAGCCAGGCCUGGAUGCUGAGAGAGGUUUCAGUCUGCCAGGAGGAACAGUGAGGUAUGACAGGGCUGGCUUUGUGCAGCUCAUUACGCUCCCGUCGCUGAUUUCUAAUCGGAGUCCUGGCGCUGAGACAGACCAGCUGUGCAAUGAAACAUUUGUGAAUAUCCAGGUACGAGGGUCCUUACACAUGGCAUUGACAUGAACCAGGCUCACAUGGAAACCGUCACAUCACCUGCAGGAAGGAGAACAAGAAGCUGAAAUGUGCUGGAGCAGAUCCUGGAAAGGGAAGGUCCUGCAGAAAGAAGAGAGGAUGGACCCAUCCUUCCUGGAAAGGGUGGAGCAGGGUGGCCUCUGGCUCUUCAGGACAUCAUGGAACACCACCCAUCACAUCCUGGGGAUGACUUCAGACUGGCUUGAGGAUGGAACACCACCAAGGAAUGACAUUUCACUUGGAUUUCUAAAGUUCUAGGCAGAGCUUCUGCUCUGGGUCUGGUUAGUAACUGAGUUCAUAAUUUUGGCUUUCACUGGUGCUUUGAAAUGGAACCACUCAUGAGGCAAUACAGGAGUUUUUCCCACCUCCUUCUCCUUUCCUGCAUGUCUUGUGCUCCUCCAGGUUUUAUUGCACUGAUCAGGAAACAUGGAGUUGAAAUAGCCACAGCUUUACUUUGAAGACUGCUGCAUUAAAAAGAGCUGCUUAACUCCCUUUCUGUCAAGCUCAUGAUAUUAAAAUCAGUAAUUACCCCACUUUUCCAACUGGUUUUAGUGGUGUGAGCUGUGCAGAAAGGACUCACAUACUGUGACUGCAAUGCACUUGGCACCUGAGCAGAGAAGGGGCAGGUCAUGGAUAAACACUGGGCAGGACUUCUCAUUGCUGGGAUCUCUCCUGAUGGUAGGAAAAUCUCCAGGGUUGGUUUUGCUCAUGUUGUUUCUGUUCCAAGUGGAACUGAUUAUAAAAAGGAGUGUUAAGAUGGUCCUGAGGGGGACUGAGAAGACAGAGAGGGUUGAGAGCUAAGAAAGCUCUGAGGAGGCUUAGAAGGGACAGAAAAAUGUGAUAUCCAAUACAUAGGGGUUGAGAAGUUCAGCUACUGUGAUGAUGGGUAUUUUUUGGGAAGGAAAGAUGUGUCCAGUAAAAAAUCCUUGAGUUUCCACAUGCUUAAUGCCUAAACCUGCCUCAGCAGAGCAAAUUCUCACCAGCUAGGGUGAGAAGUGAUUUUACAAAGACA